GCCUACAGUCACUGUGGUCUGGAUAUGCCUGAACCUGUCUGAUAUCAGAAACUAAGCGGAGCUGACCCUGAUCAUUGUCUCCAUGGGAGACAAGUAGGAAAGUUGCUCUGAAUUCU
Molecule: ribosomal RNA, 116 nt
Filed under: Monopterus albus (swamp eel)
Lineage: Eukaryota; Metazoa; Chordata; Actinopteri; Synbranchiformes; Synbranchidae
Source: RNAcentral